UGGGAGGUUCCGCUUUGGACCAGUCAUGGAGGCUGGAGUGACAGUUGAGAAGAUCUUGCAGGUGCAUGCUAGCAACAGUGAGCGCACGGCCAGGCUCUGCGGCAAGCAGUCGAGCAAACUUGGUCGCGACAUCUCAAAUGCUCUCAU
RNAcentral lists this small nuclear RNA (147 nucleotides) under Scrippsiella trochoidea. RNAcentral's name for it is "partial Dictyostelium signal recognition particle". Lineage: Eukaryota; Dinophyceae; Peridiniales; Peridiniaceae. The record is from RNAcentral.